GGGGAUGGAACAGGGCUGCAUUAGCCCAUUCUCUUCGUUCAAAAUAUAAAUGUUGCAAAGUCUUCUUUUUUAUCGCUCAAAAAUUCUUCUUUUCACUAAACCUCACAUUUUCCAACUCUCAAGUUAGACCGCAGCAUGGUAUAGACGGCGGUGACGAUAGAGUGGUAGAAUAGUUAACUAGAUUGGCAACGAUGGUGGAAGACAUUCUUUGCUUCAGGUUCUGUGGCUCUUUACGUCUUCCUAUACUGCAUCAACCACUUGGUCUUUGACCUGCAGAGUUUGAGUGGACCAGUCUCAGCCACGCUUUACCUUGGCUAUUCACUGUUUAUGGCCAUUACAACUAUGUUGUAUAGAUGAGGUUCUUGAAACUAUGCAAAAGGUUAAUUGGUAUAACUUCUACCAAGUCUUUGUAUCUUGAUUAUAUCGCAGAGUAAGACAACAGAUGGUGUUUCAUUCUUUGUCUAAAAUUGUUGUCAAACAGUUUUAUGUUGAUGGAAUCUGCAGUGUGUUCUGCUUCUGUGUGUUUCCUAAAGUUGUGUAUUCAACUGUUAAGAUCAUUAUGUUUCAAGCAUUUUAGUUUGAGUUUCUU
Molecule: long non-coding RNA, 589 nt
Organism: Vigna radiata var. radiata (mung bean)
Lineage: Eukaryota; Viridiplantae; Streptophyta; Magnoliopsida; Fabales; Fabaceae
Exons: 2
Source: RefSeq, a predicted model, not a curated record